AUACGUAGGGAGAGAGCGUUGUCCGGAAUUACUGGGUGUAAAGGGAGCGUAGGCGGGAGUGCAAGUCAGAUGUGAAAUACAUGGGCUCAACCCAUGGGCGGCAUUUGAAACUGAAUUUCUUGAGUGAAGUAGAGGUAAGCGGAAUUCCUGGUGUAGCGGUGAAAUGCGUAGAUAUCAGGAGGAACACCGGUGGCGAAGGCGGCUUACUGGGCUUUUACUGACGCUGAGGCUCGAAAGCGUGGGGAGCAAACAGGAUUAGAUACCCUGGUAGUCCACGCUGUAAACGAUGAUUACUAGGUGUGGGGGGACUGACCCCUUCCGUGCCGCAGUUAACACAAUAAGUAAUCCACCUGGGGAGUACGGCCGCAAGGUUGAAACUCAAAUGAAUUGACGGGG
Molecule: ribosomal RNA, 396 nt
Filed under: uncultured bacterium
Lineage: Bacteria
Description: partial 16S ribosomal RNA
Rfam family: Bacterial small subunit ribosomal RNA
Source: RNAcentral